Molecule: ribosomal RNA, 301 nt
Filed under: uncultured bacterium
Lineage: Bacteria
Description: partial 16S ribosomal RNA
Rfam family: Bacterial small subunit ribosomal RNA
Source: RNAcentral
CAGCAGCCGCGGGAAUACGGAGGGGGCUAGCGUUGUUCGGAAUUACUGGGCGUAAAGCGCACGUAGGCGGUUUUGUAAGUCAGGGGUGAAAGCCCGGAGCUCAACUCCGGAACUGCCUUUGAGACUGCAUCACUUGAACGUCGGAGAGGUGAGUGGAAUUCCGAGUGUAGAGGUGAAAUUCGUAGAUAUUCGGAAGAACACCAGUGGCGAAGGCGGCUCACUGGACGACUGUUGACGCUGAGGUGCGAAAGCGUGGGGAGCAAACAGGAUUAGAUACCCCGGUAGUCCCUGUCUCUUAUAC